GGAGAAGCAGCGGAAGCCGGGCACUAGUCCUGCAGGGUGGAAGGCGCUUUAUCGGGUCUUCUGGCCCGCUGCGGGCGAUAGAGCUGGUAACCUGAGUAGAGUAAAUAGAGACACGUGGGUGCUGGCUAGAGAAAGCGCGGAGCAGGGCCGCGCUGGAGGGCUGUUUGAAGCCUAGUCCAGAGCUGGUCUAGGGGGCGGAUGGACCCUGAUACCCGACACUCCACUGGUCACCCUUGUUCCACAACUGGGAAACCCUCUGGAGGAAAUCCGGUAGAAAAGUCCUGACACCCGAAUGAUUUAACCAACGCCUUUUCCCUCCAAAGAAACUUGGAGGAUAUACCUUUUUUUCCUUAAAUGGCAUCUUUCUACCCCCAAAAAGAAAGUGUGUGGUUUUGAGGGCGGGGACAUUUUGGGUUUUAAACAGCGCGUUUAAGAACACCUCAGAUCUGCCUUCUCUAUCCCAAUGGCAGAGGUGGCCAGACAAGCACAAACCUCUCAGGAGCCCUACCACGACAAGGCCAGAGAACACCCCGAUGACGGAAAGCAUCCAGAUGGAGGCCUCUACAACAAGGGACCCUCCUACUCGAGUUAUUCCGGGUACAUAAUGAUGCCAAAUAUGAAUAACGACCCAUACAUGUCAAAUGGAUCUCUUUCUCCACCCAUCCCGAGAACAUCAAAUAAAGUGCCCGUGGUGCAGCCAUCCCAUGCGGUCCAUCCUCUCACCCCCCUCAUCACUUACAGUGACGAGCACUUUUCUCCAGGAUCACACCCGUCACACAUCCCAUCAGAUGUCAACUCCAAACAAGGCAUGUCCAGACAUCCUCCAGCUCCUGAUAUCCCUACUUUUUAUCCCUUGUCUCCGGGUGGUGUUGGACAGAUCACCCCACCUCUUGGCUGGCAAGGUCAGCCUGUAUAUCCCAUCACGGGUGGAUUCAGGCAACCCUACCCAUCCUCACUGUCAGUCGACACUUCCAUGUCCAGGUUUUCCCAUCAUAUGAUUCCCGGUCCUCCUGGUCCCCACACAACUGGCAUCCCUCAUCCAGCUAUUGUAACACCUCAGGUCAAACAGGAACAUCCCCACACUGACAGUGACCUAAUGCACGUGAAGCCUCAGCAUGAACAGAGAAAGGAGCAGGAGCCAAAAAGACCUCACAUUAAGAAGCCUCUGAAUGCUUUUAUGUUAUACAUGAAAGAAAUGAGAGCGAAUGUCGUUGCUGAGUGUACUCU
Molecule: long non-coding RNA, 1227 nt
Filed under: Homo sapiens (human)
Lineage: Eukaryota; Metazoa; Chordata; Mammalia; Primates; Hominidae
Description: long non-coding RNA NONHSAT200272.1
Source: RNAcentral